ACCUCGACUUCGGAAGGGGUGUAUUUAUUAGAUAAAAAACCAAUGCCCUUCGGGGCUCCUUGGUGAUUCAUAAUAACUUAACGAAUCGCAUGGCCUUGUGCCGGCGAUGGUUCAUUCAAAUUUCUGCCCUAUCAACUUUCGAUGGUUAGGUAGUGGCUAACCAUGGUUUCAACGGGUAACGGGGAAUUAGGGUUCUAUUCCGGAGAGGGAGCCUGAGAAACGGCUGCCACAUCCAAGGAAGGCAGCAGGCGCGCAAAUUACCCAAUCCCGACACGGGGAGGUAGUGACAAUAAAUACUGAUACAGGGCUCUUUUGGGUCUUGUAAUUGGAAUGAGUACAAUUUAAAUCCCUUAACGAGGAACAAUUGGAGGGCAAGUCUGGUGCCAGCAGCCGCGGUAAUUCCAGCUCCAAUAGCGUAUAUUAAAGUUGUUGCAGUUAAAAAGCUCGUAGUUGAACCUUGGGCCUGGUUGGUCGGUCCGCCUCACCGCGUGCACUGAUCCGACCGGGUCUUUCCUCCUGGGGAGCCGCAUGCCCUUCACUGGGUGUGUCGGGGAACCAGGACUUUUACUUUGAAAAAAUUAGAGUGUUCAAAGCAGGCCUAUGCUCGAAUACAUUAGCAUGGAAUAAUAGAAUAGGACGUGUGGUUCUAUUUUGUUGGUUUCUAGGACCGCCGUAAUGAUUAAUAGGGAUAGUCGGGGGCAUCAGUAUUCAAUUGUCAGAGGUGAAAUUCUUGGAUUAAUUGAAGACUAACUACUGCGAAAGCAUUUGCCAAGGAUGUUUUCAUUAAUCAGUGAACGAAAGUUAGGGGAUCGAAGACGAUCAGAUACCGUCGUAGUCUUAACCAUAAACUAUGCCGACUAGGGAUCGGGCGAUGUUAUCUUUUUGACUCGCUCGGCACCUUACGAGAAAUCAAAGUCUUUGGGUC
This 925-nucleotide ribosomal RNA is filed under the name Heterosphaeria umbilicata. Its description in RNAcentral is "SSU rRNA". It matches the Rfam family "Eukaryotic small subunit ribosomal RNA", at positions 174 to 1113 of the family's 1831-position model. The record is from RNAcentral. Lineage: Eukaryota; Fungi; Ascomycota; Leotiomycetes; Helotiales; Heterosphaeriaceae.